This 2397-nucleotide unclassified non-coding RNA is filed under the name Amphibalanus amphitrite. RNAcentral's name for it is "kinesin-like protein KIFC1, transcript variant X2". Lineage: Eukaryota; Metazoa; Arthropoda; Thecostraca; Balanomorpha; Balanidae. The record is from RNAcentral.
UCAAAUAUGGCGGCUUGGACUGCCGCGUGCGUUAGGCUCCGCCCAUAGCUCCGCCCACAUGCGUGACGUCAUUCGUGUUAGUGGACACACGCGGAGAUAGGGGACGGCAUGGGCCUGGACAUACUGUCCGGUGAGUUCGGUACGGGUGCCGACUGCCGGGGCGGCGACCUCGGAUGGGGUACGGCUAGGGGACGGGCGGCGACCUCUGAUGGGCACGGCUAGGGGACGGACGGAGCACCGGCAUUGUCAGCCCGCGGGCAGUCUGCGGUCGGCCCGGGUGGGGUACCGGGCGUCAUAAUGGGAUAUUUUGACACAUGCGGCUCGCCGACCAUGUGUCAAAAUACGCUGCCGUCUCUGGAGCUCGCCAGGACGGCAGGUCAGUCCUGGACGGCCGCGUGUGUGGCCACGUGACGGCAGUGUGGGCUGCUCAGUUUAUUUAAACUUUAUGCCAAAUUACAUAGAUGUCGCUGCUACCGGUUCCAUCCACGUCUGUCUUCUGACCUACAUACUUUGUAUGUUAGUUUAUUGUCUGGUUUGCUAUGCACCGCCGCGUUUCUGUCUUCAUCUUGACUGACGGCUUGUCUUCCGGCAGGUUCCGGGCGCCAGUAACCCCAUCUCCAGAUUCACACUUGGACCGUUGUUCCCGCUGCGUCAACGAAAUCUGACCUUCAAUGACCUCUGGUGACCUGACCCUGGAACUGACCGAAAAAGUGACCGGAGUGGUUUCGUCAUUAUUAUUGACACUCUUUCGAACGCCACUUUCCGCGUAUCGCACCGUGGCCUGGCCCAGCAGCCGAGGCAGAAGGGUGUUCAAACACCCCCCAGCAGGGCAUGGAGAUCCAGGACCCCAGCGGGGCGCGGGUUAUUCGUGGCUACUGUAAUGGCGUGUUGUCCCUGCCACCCCCAGCUACUGUGUGAUAACGUUGUAACGGUGACGAGACUGAGUGCCCCUCUCCUCACAUGGGUAGGUAAUGACCCCCCCCCCCUCCCCCUCUGUGUUACCGGGUGGUGACGGCGGCGGAACAAUGUAACGUCUCCACCCUGCUGGAGCGGGCCCGUCAGCAGCGAGCCGUGGACGCCACCAACUACAACGAGCAGUCGUCGCUGAAGAAGCAGCUGCCCGAUCAGUCGCCGGGCUGAGCUGGCGCAGCUGGGCGUCGGCCCGCGGCCAGCGGGCCCGUCAGCAGUGAGCCGUGGACGCCACCAACUGCCACCAGCAGUCGUCUCGCUCCCACUCGGUGUUCACGCUGCGCCGUGAGGGUACUGGCGCAGCGCGCUGACACGGCUCACUGUACCUGGUCGACCUGCUCCGGCCCCGAGCGGCUCAGAGUCCGCAGCGCAGGGCGACCGGCUCACCGAGACAACGAAUAUCAACUAGUCGCUGGCCAGUGGCCAGCCUGGGCAACGUCACCAUGGCGCUGGGAAAUACGGACCACGUGCCGCUCCGCGACUCCAAGCUGACGCACCUGCUGCACCACUCACUGGACGCCAACAGCAAGACGCUGAUGUUCGUGAACGUGUCGCCGAGCGAGGACGGCGCCGGCGAGACGCUCAACUCGCUGCGUUUGGCCGGCCAGGCUGGCCAAUGGCAGUGCACCACGAAUUCGGUACGGCUGAAACAUUACAGUUCUACAACACGCCACUGAUCUUCAUACACCGAACAUCGGGCAUCAUUACGUCACUCUGUGGCAGAAACAAGUGAUCUGGAGGAUCGCCACCGAACGCCUUCGACCAAACAUCGCGCCUCACCAAAACGUCACUUUGAAGUUGAAAAAGUGAGCUAGAGGACAAGUGAUGUCACGUUAUGACAACUUGAGUGCCCGUGAAGGCGAUGGCAGGUGCGGUGCUGUCUAUGGAGGUGUGUAUUGAAUAAACGUAUCUCAUGCACUGGGCAAAUAUGAUGUGGAUAUGGAGGUGUGUAUUGAAUAAACAACGUAUCUCAUGCUCGGGACACAUGUGAUGUGUCCAUGGAGGCGUGCAUUGAAUAAACUUAUCAGUCGUGGAAGGUUUGAUCAAUCGUUGUCAUUUUUAGCACGUGCUAUUUUUGUCACACGUGCCAAAAAUGGCAACGGUUCUGUUAUUUUUGACAACGAUGGAGCCGAUUUCACUCCUCAGCGAGGAAAUCACGAUUUUGGAAAUACAAGCACUGAUUUUGGAAAAGAAGUGCUGCCACCUGGUGCAAGAAUAAUAAACCAGCUGUAAUACGGGCCGUUGUAUGGUAAUUUGUUUUGUGGCCUGAAGUUCGAACUUAAAAACUACUGUUACGUGUUAUGUUGUGCCGAACUACGACCAUGUCGUACGCAACUAAAUCAUCGUGUCGGUCGGAACUCUGCUUCAGGGCGAAUUAAGCGGUUUUCUGCGAUGCAUCAUUCGUUUAAAAUAAAAUAGCAUGUCAUU